AACGGCCGCGGUAUUUUGACCGUGCAAAGGUAGCGCAAUCACUUGUCUUUUAAAUGAAGACCUGUAUGAAUGGCAUAACGAGGGCUUAACUGUCUCCUUUUUCCUAUCAAUGAAAUUGAUCUCCCCGUGCAGAAGCGGGGAUUAAAACAUAAGACGAGAAGACCCUAUGGAGCUUAAAACGCAAGAACAGAACAUGUCUAUUCAUAAAUUUAAAAAAUGAAAUCAAUUGAAACCUGUUCAAAUGUUUUUGGUUGGGGCGACCGCGGAGUAUAAUAAAACCUCCAUGAGGAAUUAAAGGUAUUCCUUUCAAUUUAAGGGUGACAACCCUAAAAAACAGAAUUUCUGACCACCAUGAUCCGGCAAAGCCGAUCAACGGACCGAGUUACCCUAGGGAUAACAGCGCAAUCCUCUUUUAGAGUCCAUAUCGACAAGAGGGUUUACGACCUCGAUGUUGGAUCAGGACAUCCUAAU
RNAcentral lists this ribosomal RNA (471 nucleotides) under Aphyosemion aureum (golden killifish). Its description in RNAcentral is "partial 16S ribosomal RNA". It matches the Rfam family "Bacterial large subunit ribosomal RNA", at positions 1926 to 2551 of the family's 2925-position model. The record is from RNAcentral. Lineage: Eukaryota; Metazoa; Chordata; Actinopteri; Cyprinodontiformes; Nothobranchiidae.